Molecule: ribosomal RNA, 620 nt
Filed under: uncultured bacterium
Lineage: Bacteria
Description: bacterial SSU rRNA
Rfam family: Bacterial small subunit ribosomal RNA
Source: RNAcentral
GCUACACAUGCAAGUCGAGCGAGGACUUCGGUCCUAGCGGCGGACGGGUGAGUAACACGUGGGAACGUACCCUUUGCUUCGGAAUAGCCCCGGGAAACUGGGAGUAAUACCGAAUGUGCUCGAGAGAGGAAAGAUUUAUCGGCAAAGGAUCGGCCCGCGUUGGAUUAGGUAGUUGGUGGGGUAAUGGCCUACCAAGCCGACGAUCCAUAGCUGGUUUGAGAGGAUGAUCAGCCACACUGGGACUGAGACACGGCCCAGACUCCUACGGGAGGCAGCAGUGGGGAAUCUUAGACAAUGGGCGCAAGCCUGAUCUAGCCAUGCCGCGUGAGCGAUGAAGGCCUUAGGGUUGUAAAGCUCUUUCAGCGAGGAAGAUAAUGACUGUACUCGCAGAAGAAGCCCCGGCUAACUCCGUGCCAGCAGCCGCGGUAAUACGGAGGGGGCUAGCGUUGUUCGGAAUUACUGGGCGUAAAGCGCACGUAGGCGGAUCAGAAAGUCAGAGGUGAAAUCCCAGGGCUCAACCUUGGAACUGCCUUUGAAACUCCUGAUCUUGAGUUCGAGAGAGGUGAGUGGAAUUCCGAGUGUAGAGGUGAAAUUCGUAGAUAUUCGGAGGAACACCAGUG